RNAcentral lists this ribosomal RNA (425 nucleotides) under uncultured bacterium. RNAcentral's name for it is "bacterial SSU rRNA". It matches the Rfam family "Bacterial small subunit ribosomal RNA", at positions 354 to 796 of the family's 1533-position model. The record is from RNAcentral.
GUGGGGAAUAUUGGACAAUGGGCGCAAGCCUGAUCCAGCCAUGCCGCGUGAGUGAUGAAGGCCCUAGGGUUGUAAAGCUCUUUCAGUGGGGACGAUAAUGACGGUACCCACAGAAGAAGCCCCGGCUAACUUCGUGCCAGCAGCCGCGGUAAUACGAAGGGGGCUAGCGUUGUUCGGAUUUACUGGGCGUAAAGCGCACGUAGGCGGAUCGUUAAGUCGAGGGUGAAAUCCUGGAGCUCAACUCCAGAACUGCCUUCGAUACUGGCGAUCUUGAGUCCGGAAGAGGUGAGUGGAACUCCUAGUGUAGAGGUGGAAUUCGUAGAUAUUAGGAAGAACACCAGUGGCGAAGGCGGCUCACUGGUCCGGUACUGACGCUGAGGUGCGAAAGCGUGGGGAGCAAACAGGAUUAGAUACCCCGGUAGUCC